AUUGAACGCUGGCGGCAGGCCUAACACAUGCAAGUCGAGCGGAGCGGCGGACGGGUGAGUAAUGACUAGGAAUCUGCCUGGUAGUGGGGGAUAACGUACGGAAACGGGCGCUAAUAACGCAUAAUUGCAACUGAGCAUAGGUCGGCUUAGCUAGAUGGUGGGGAAAAGGCCUACAAAGGCGACGAUUCGUAACUGGGCUGAGAGGAUGAUCAGUCACAAUGGAACUGAGAUACGGUCCAGAAGCCUAAGGGAGGAAGCAGGGGGGAAUAUUGGACAAUGGGCGAAAGCCUGAUCCAGCCAUGCCGGGUGUGUGAAGAAGGUUUUCGGAUUUUAAAGCACUUGUAGUUGGGAGGCGUUACCAACAGAAUAAGCACCGGCUAACUUCGUGCCAGCAGCCGCGGUAAUUC
Molecule: ribosomal RNA, 407 nt
Filed under: uncultured bacterium
Lineage: Bacteria
Description: partial 16S ribosomal RNA
Rfam family: Bacterial small subunit ribosomal RNA
Source: RNAcentral